UCCACCAGUAGACUUCGCGCCUCGGCGCG
Molecule: small RNA, 29 nt
Filed under: Bombyx mori (domestic silkworm)
Lineage: Eukaryota; Metazoa; Arthropoda; Insecta; Lepidoptera; Bombycidae
Description: ovarian small RNA-26643
Source: RNAcentral